RNAcentral lists this ribosomal RNA (432 nucleotides) under uncultured bacterium. RNAcentral's name for it is "partial 16S ribosomal RNA". It matches the Rfam family "Bacterial small subunit ribosomal RNA", at positions 29 to 506 of the family's 1533-position model. The record is from RNAcentral.
AACGAACGCUGGCGGCAGGCCUAACACAUGCAAGUCGAGCGAGGACUUCGGUUCUAGCGGCGGACGGGUGAGUAACGCGUGGGAAUGUGCCCUUCUCUACGGAAUAGCCCUGGGAAACUGGGAGUAAUACCGUAUACGCCCUAUUGGGGAAAGAUUUAUCGGAGAAGGAUCAGCCCGCGUUGGAUUAGGUAGUUGGUGGGGUAAUGGCCUACCAAGCCGACGAUCCAUAGCUGGUUUGAGAGGAUGAUCAGCCACACUGGGACUGAGACACGGCCCAGACUCCGACGGGAGGCAGCAGUGGGGAAUCUUAGACAAUGGGGGCAACCCUGAUCUAGCCAUGCCGCGUGAGUGAUGAAGGCCUUAGGGUUGUAAAGCUCUUUCAGCUGGGAAGAUAAUGACGGUACCAGCAGAAGAAGCCCCGGCGAACUCCGU